This 551-nucleotide ribosomal RNA is filed under the name uncultured Methanobrevibacter sp. Its description in RNAcentral is "bacterial SSU rRNA". It matches the Rfam family "Archaeal small subunit ribosomal RNA", at positions 339 to 892 of the family's 1478-position model. Lineage: Archaea; Methanobacteriati; Methanobacteriota; Methanobacteria; Methanobacteriales; Methanobacteriaceae. The record is from RNAcentral.
GCGCGAAACCUCCGCAAUGUGAGAAAUCGCGACGGGGGGACCCCAAGUGCCAUUCUUAACGGGAUGGCUUUUCUUAAGUGUAAAAAGCUUUUGGAAUAAGAGCUGGGCAAGACCGGUGCCAGCCGCCGCGGUAACACCGGCAGCUCUAGUGGUAGCCAUUUUUAUUGGGCCUAAAGCGUUCGUAGCCGGUUUAAUAAGUCUCUGGUGAAGUCCCGUAGCUUAACUAUGGGAAUUGCUGGAGAUACUAUUAGACUUGAGGUCGGGAGAGGUUAGAGGUACUCCCAGGGUAGGGGUGAAAUCCUGUAAUCCUGGGAGGACCACCUGUGGCGAAGGCGUCUAACUGGAACGAACCUGACGGUGAGGGACGAAAGCUAGGGGCGCGAACCGGAUUAGAUACCCGGGUAGUCCUAGCCGUAAACGAUGCGGACUUGGUGUUAGGAUGGCUUUGAGCCGCCCUAGUGCCGAAGGGAGCUGUUAAGUCCGCCGCCUGGGAAGUACGGUCGCAAGACUGAACUUAAAGGAAUUGGGCGGGGAGCACCACAACGCGUGGA